AUUGAACGCUGGCAGCAGGCCUAACACAUGCAAGUCGAACGGGAACAGGAAGCAGCUUGCUGCUUUGCUGACGAGUGGCGGACGGGUGAGUAAUGUCUGGGAAACUGCCCGAUGGAGGGGGAUAACUACUGGAAACGGUAGCUAAUACCGCAUAACGUCGCAAGACCAAAGAGGGGAACUUUAGGGCCUCUUGCCAUCGAUGUGUCCCAGUUGGUAUUCGGUAGUGGGUGGGGUAACGGCUCACCUAGGCGACGAUCCCUAGCUGGUCUGAGAGGAUGACCAGCCACACUGGAACUGAGACACGGUCCAGACUCCUACGGGAGGCAGCAGUGGGGAAUAUUGCACAAUGGGCGCAAGCCUGAUGCAGCCAUGCCGCGUGUAUGAAGAAGGCCUUCGGGUUGUAAAGUACUUUCAGCGGGGAGGAAGGGAGUAAAGUUAAUACCUUUGCUCAUUGACGUUACCCGCAGAAGAAGCACCGGCUAACUCCGUG
This 490-nucleotide ribosomal RNA is filed under the name uncultured bacterium. RNAcentral describes it as "partial 16S ribosomal RNA". It matches the Rfam family "Bacterial small subunit ribosomal RNA", at positions 30 to 507 of the family's 1533-position model. The record is from RNAcentral.